RNAcentral lists this transfer RNA (74 nucleotides) under Furfurilactobacillus siliginis. RNAcentral's name for it is "Lactobacillus siliginis tRNA". It matches the Rfam family "tRNA". Rfam says of the family: Transfer RNA (tRNA) molecules are approximately 80 nucleotides in length. Their secondary structure includes four short double-helical elements and three loops (D, anti-codon, and T loops). Lineage: Bacteria; Bacillati; Bacillota; Bacilli; Lactobacillales; Lactobacillaceae. The record is from Rfam by way of RNAcentral.
GCAACAAUAGCUCAGCUGGAUAGAGCAUCGGUCUUCUAAACCGAGGGUCGUGGGUUCGAACCCCACUUGUUGCA